ACGUUUCGGGAUUUUGGCAAGGU
Molecule: non-coding RNA, 23 nt
Filed under: Arabidopsis thaliana (thale cress)
Lineage: Eukaryota; Viridiplantae; Streptophyta; Magnoliopsida; Brassicales; Brassicaceae
Source: RNAcentral